This 358-nucleotide unclassified non-coding RNA is filed under the name soil metagenome. Its description in RNAcentral is "partial contains 5.8S ribosomal RNA, internal transcribed spacer 2, and large subunit ribosomal RNA". The stretch from base 1 to 120 matches the Rfam family "5.8S ribosomal RNA", at positions 35 to 154 of the family's 154-position model. The record is from RNAcentral.
GAUGAAGAACGCAGCGAAAUGCGAUAAGUAAUGUGAAUUGCAGAAUUCAGUGAAUCAUCGAAUCUUUGAACGCAAAUUGCGCCCGUCAGUAUUCUGGCGGGCAUGCCUGUUCGAGCGUCAUUACGCCCCUCAAGUCCCCUGUGGACUUGGUGUUGGGGAUCGGCGAGGCUGGUUUUCCAGCACAGCCGUCCCUUAAAUUAAUUGGCGGUCUCGCCGUGGCCCUCCUCUGCGCAGUAGUAAAACACUCGCAACAGGAGCCCGGCGCGGUCCACUGCCGUAAAACCCCCCAACUUUUUAUAGUUGACCUCGAAUCAGGUAGGACUACCCGCUGAACUUAAGCAUAUCAAUAAGCGGAGGA